RNAcentral lists this ribosomal RNA (2902 nucleotides) under Klebsiella pneumoniae. RNAcentral's name for it is "23S ribosomal RNA". It matches the Rfam family "Bacterial large subunit ribosomal RNA". RNAcentral also lists the same sequence under 1 other name. The record is from RNAcentral. Lineage: Bacteria; Pseudomonadati; Pseudomonadota; Gammaproteobacteria; Enterobacterales; Enterobacteriaceae.
GGUUAAGCGACUAAGCGUACACGGUGGAUGCCCUGGCAGUCAGAGGCGAUGAAGGACGUGCUAAUCUGCGAAAAGCGUCGGUAAGGUGAUAUGAACCGUUAUAACCGGCGAUGUCCGAAUGGGGAAACCCAGUGCAAUUCGUUGCACUAUCGUUAACUGAAUACAUAGGUUAACGAGGCGAACCGGGGGAACUGAAACAUCUAAGUACCCCGAGGAAAAGAAAUCAACCGAGAUUCCCCCAGUAGCGGCGAGCGAACGGGGAGCAGCCCAGAGUCUGAAUCAGCUUGUGUGUUAGUGGAACGGUCUGGAAAGUCCGACGGUACAGGGUGAUAGUCCCGUACACCAAAAUGCACAGGUUGUGAACUCGAAGAGUAGGGCGGGACACGUGGUAUCCUGUCUGAAUAUGGGGGGACCAUCCUCCAAGGCUAAAUACUCCUGACUGACCGAUAGUGAACCAGUACCGUGAGGGAAAGGCGAAAAGAACCCCGGCGAGGGGAGUGAAAAAGAACCUGAAACCGUGUACGUACAAGCAGUGGGAGCACCUUCGGGUGUGACUGCGUACCUUUUGUAUAAUGGGUCAGCGACUUAUAUUCUGUAGCAAGGUUAACCGUAUAGGGGAGCCGCAGGGAAACCGAGUCUUAACUGGGCGUUAAGUUGCAGGGUAUAGACCCGAAACCCGGUGAUCUAGCCAUGGGCAGGUUGAAGGUUGGGUAACACUAACUGGAGGACCGAACCGACUAAUGUUGAAAAAUUAGCGGAUGACUUGUGGCUGGGGGUGAAAGGCCAAUCAAACCGGGAGAUAGCUGGUUCUCCCCGAAAGCUAUUUAGGUAGCGCCUCGUGAACUCAUCUUCGGGGGUAGAGCACUGUUUCGGCUAGGGGGUCAUCCCGACUUACCAACCCGAUGCAAACUACGAAUACCGAAGAAUGUUAUCACGGGAGACACACGGCGGGUGCUAACGUCCGUCGUGAAGAGGGAAACAACCCAGACCGCCAGCUAAGGUCCCAAAGUCAUGGUUAAGUGGGAAACGAUGUGGGAAGGCACAGACAGCCAGGAUGUUGGCUUAGAAGCAGCCAUCAUUUAAAGAAAGCGUAAUAGCUCACUGGUCGAGUCGGCCUGCGCGGAAGAUGUAACGGGGCUAAACCAUGCACCGAAGCUGCGGCAGCGACACUAUGUGUUGUUGGGUAGGGGAGCGUUCUGUAAGCCUGCGAAGGUGUGCUGUGAGGCAUGCUGGAGGUAUCAGAAGUGCGAAUGCUGACAUAAGUAACGAUAAAGCGGGUGAAAAGCCCGCUCGCCGGAAGACCAAGGGUUCCUGUCCAACGUUAAUCGGGGCAGGGUGAGUCGACCCCUAAGGCGAGGCCGAAAGGCGUAGUCGAUGGGAAACAGGUUAAUAUUCCUGUACUUGGUGUUACUGCGAAGGGGGGACGGAGAAGGCUAUGUUAGCCGGGCGACGGUUGUCCCGGUUUAAGCAUGUAGGCUGGUUAUCCAGGCAAAUCCGGAUAAUCAAGGCUGAGGUGUGAUGACGAGGCACUACGGUGCUGAAGUAACAAAUGCCCUGCUUCCAGGAAAAGCCUCUAAGCAUCAGGUAACAUCAAAUCGUACCCCAAACCGACACAGGUGGUCAGGUAGAGAAUACCAAGGCGCUUGAGAGAACUCGGGUGAAGGAACUAGGCAAAAUGGUGCCGUAACUUCGGGAGAAGGCACGCUGGUGUGUAGGUGAAGCCCCUGCGGGUGGAGCUGAGACCAGUCGAAGAUACCAGCUGGCUGCAACUGUUUAUUAAAAACACAGCACUGUGCAAACACGAAAGUGGACGUAUACGGUGUGACGCCUGCCCGGUGCCGGAAGGUUAAUUGAUGGGGUUAUCCGUAAGGAGAAGCUCUUGAUCGAAGCCCCGGUAAACGGCGGCCGUAACUAUAACGGUCCUAAGGUAGCGAAAUUCCUUGUCGGGUAAGUUCCGACCUGCACGAAUGGCGUAAUGAUGGCCAGGCUGUCUCCACCCGAGACUCAGUGAAAUUGAACUCGCUGUGAAGAUGCAGUGUACCCGCGGCAAGACGGAAAGACCCCGUGAACCUUUACUAUAGCUUGACACUGAACAUUGAGCCUUGAUGUGUAGGAUAGGUGGGAGGCUUUGAAGCGUGGACGCCAGUCUGCGUGGAGCCAACCUUGAAAUACCACCCUUUAAUGUUUGAUGUUCUAACGUUGGCCCCUGACCGGGGUUGCGGACAGUGUCUGGUGGGUAGUUUGACUGGGGCGGUCUCCUCCCAAAGCGUAACGGAGGAGCACGAAGGUUAGCUAAUCCUGGUCGGACAUCAGGAGGUUAGUGCAAUGGCAUAAGCUAGCUUGACUGCGAGCGUGACGGCGCGAGCAGGUGCGAAAGCAGGUCAUAGUGAUCCGGUGGUUCUGAAUGGAAGGGCCAUCGCUCAACGGAUAAAAGGUACUCCGGGGAUAACAGGCUGAUACCGCCCAAGAGUUCAUAUCGACGGCGGUGUUUGGCACCUCGAUGUCGGCUCAUCACAUCCUGGGGCUGAAGUAGGUCCCAAGGGUAUGGCUGUUCGCCAUUUAAAGUGGUACGCGAGCUGGGUUUAGAACGUCGUGAGACAGUUCGGUCCCUAUCUGCCGUGGGCGCUGGAGAAUUGAGGGGGGCUGCUCCUAGUACGAGAGGACCGGAGUGGACGCAUCACUGGUGUUCGGGUUGUCAUGCCAAUGGCACUGCCCGGUAGCUAAAUGCGGAAGAGAUAAGUGCUGAAAGCAUCUAAGCACGAAACUUGCCCCGAGAUGAGUUCUCCCUGAGACUUUAAGUCUCCUGAAGGAACGUUAAAGACGAUGACGUUGAUAGGCCGGGUGUGUAAGCGCAGCGAUGCGUUGAGCUAACCGGUACUAAUGAACCGUGAGGCUUAACCUU